AUUAGGCAUAUGAUGAAUCUCAAUUAACAAAUGGGUAAUUUGCGUCUGAAUAGUAUACCUUGAUGCAAUAUCACCUUGGAGAACUGAUGCUUUGU
Molecule: small nucleolar RNA, 95 nt
Organism: Lactuca sativa (garden lettuce)
Lineage: Eukaryota; Viridiplantae; Streptophyta; Magnoliopsida; Asterales; Asteraceae
Source: RefSeq, a predicted model, not a curated record